UGGGGAAUUUUGGACAAUGGGCGAAAGCCUGAUCCAGCAAUGCCGCGUGUGUGAAGAAGGCCUUCGGGUUGUAAAGCACUUUUGUCCGGAAAGAAAUCCUUGGCUCUAAUACAGUCGGGGGAUGACGGUACCGGAAGAAUAAGCACCGGCUAACUACGUGCCAGCAGCCGCGGUAAUACGUAGGGUGCAAGCGUUAAUCGGAAUUACUGGGCGUAAAGCGUGCGCAGGCGGUUUGCUAAGACCGAUGUGAAAUCCCCGGGCUCAACCUGGGAACUGCAUUGGUGACUGGCAGGCUAGAGUAUGGCAGAGGGGGGUAGAAUUCCACGUGUAGCAGUGAAAUGCGUAGAGAUGUGGAGGAAUACCGAUGGCGAAGGCAGCCCCCUGGGCCAAUACUGACGCUCAUGCACGAAAGCGUGGGGAGCAAACAGGGUUAGAUACCCUGGUAGUCCACGCCCUAAACGAUGUCAACUAGUUGUUGGGGAUUCAUUUCCUUAGUAACGUAGCUAACGCGUGAAGUUGACCGCCUGGGGAGUACGGUCGCAAGAUUAAAACUCAAAGGAAUUGACGGGGUCAUAGCUG
Molecule: ribosomal RNA, 579 nt
Filed under: uncultured bacterium
Lineage: Bacteria
Description: partial 16S ribosomal RNA
Rfam family: Bacterial small subunit ribosomal RNA
Source: RNAcentral